Non-coding RNA from Drosophila mojavensis, 45 nucleotides. Lineage: Eukaryota; Metazoa; Arthropoda; Insecta; Diptera; Drosophilidae. The record is from Rfam.
UCACAGGCUUCUCUUGAAGCCAACUUUACUCCAUUGACCGAAAUA